RNAcentral lists this ribosomal RNA (253 nucleotides) under uncultured bacterium. RNAcentral's name for it is "partial 16S ribosomal RNA". It matches the Rfam family "Bacterial small subunit ribosomal RNA", at positions 524 to 776 of the family's 1533-position model. The record is from RNAcentral.
UACGGGGGGGGCAAGCGUUGUUCGGAAUCACUGGGCGUAAAGGGAGCGUAGGCGGGAGCCUAAGUUGGGUGUUUAAUUCCGGGGCCCAACCCCGGGCGUGCACUCAAAACUGGGUUUCUUGAAUAGGGAAGAGGUCGGUGGAAUUGGAGGUGUAGCGGUGGAAUGCGUAGAGAUCUCCAAGAACACCCGUUGCGAAGGCGGCCGACUGGACCCAUAUUGACGCUGAGGCUCGAAAGCAUGGGGAGCAAACAGG